GCCGGGGUGGUGAAAUUGGCAGACACGCCAGGUUUAGGACCUGGUGCCCGUAAGGGCUUGGAGGUUCAAGUCCUCUCCCCGGCACCA
Molecule: transfer RNA, 87 nt
Filed under: Candidatus Kerfeldbacteria bacterium CG08_land_8_20_14_0_20_42_7
Lineage: Bacteria; Candidatus Kerfeldiibacteriota
Description: tRNA-Leu
Rfam family: tRNA
About the family: Transfer RNA (tRNA) molecules are approximately 80 nucleotides in length.
Source: RNAcentral